This 472-nucleotide ribosomal RNA is filed under the name uncultured organism. RNAcentral describes it as "partial 16S ribosomal RNA". It matches the Rfam family "Bacterial small subunit ribosomal RNA", at positions 334 to 797 of the family's 1533-position model. The record is from RNAcentral.
CACUCCUACGGGAGGCAGCAGUGGGGAAUAUUGCACAAUGGGCGCAAGCCUGAUGCAGCCAUGCCGCGUGUAUGAAGAAGGCCUUCGGGUUGUAAAGUACUUUCAGCGGGGAGGAAGGCGAUAAGGUUAAUAACCUUGUUGAUUGACGUUACCCGCAGAAGAAGCACCGGCUAACUCCGUGCCAGCAGCCGCGGUAAUACGGAGGGUGCAAGCGUUAAUCGGAAUUACUGGGCGUAAAGCGCACGCAGGCGGUCUGUCAAGUCGGAUGUGAAAUCCCCGGGCUCAACCUGGGAACUGCAUUCGAAACUGGCAGGCUAGAGUCUUGUAGAGGGGGGUAGAAUUUCAGGUGUAGCGGUGAAAUGCGUAGAGAUCUGGAGGAAUACCGGUGGCGAAGGCGGCCCCCUGGACAAAGACUGACGCUCAGGUGCGAAAGCGUGGGGAGCAAACAGGAUUAGAAACCCUGGUAGUCCCA